GUCCGGCUCAGAGCUGUCAGCACAGAGCCGGACAUAGGGCUCGAACGCACGAACUCAGAGAACAUGACCUGAGCCCAAGUCAGAUGCCCCACCAGCGAAGCUACCCAGGUGCCCCCCCCCAGUAAUUCUCAAACCCAAAGCCAGUCUCUAGUUGAAAUUCACCCAUGAUCUGUCAAACUGAGUUGCUUCCCAAAAAACUUGUCAUUAAAUGUAAUUAAUAUGUGAUACGAACUUUGAAGCCAAAAAGAAUUUCAUCAAUGACAUGAGCAACUUCUUGGCCAAAUUGGAUCAUGGUUUUCCCAUAGGGCACAAAUACAGUUUUUCCUCCGUGUUUUCUGCCGGUUACAAUGUAAAGGAUACAGAGUUGACACAUUUUGGUCAAAAUCUUGGCAACAUUUUAAAUUAAACUACAUUGUUAAUUUUCUCCAUUACUUUCUUAAGUCUAGACUAGAGGUUGGGAGAUUUUUCCCGGAAGGGUCAAAUGGGAAAUAUUUUAGGCUUUGCCAGACACAUGUAGUGUCUGUCACAUAUUUUUUCUUUUGUUUUGUUUUUUUACCACCCUUUCAAAACAUGAAAGUUGUUCUUAGCUCCAGCAAAGGGCAGAUUCAACCUUCCAGCUCUGAACUGUAGCAUGUUCAGAUUUCCACAAUAUAAAUGUUUCUCUGAUGGCUGAUUUCAAGCGGCCAAUGUGGGGUGCCUGAACCAACAUGGAGUGUCAGAAUGAGGCUUGGGAACCCUCUUUCCAGCAUAUGGAUCCAAUAAAUGGAAGUAACCCAAGGCACGUAGGUCACGGUAGAAUAAUUGAGAAGUAACGUGUUUUGAGGCCUUGUUAUCAAGAGUACUGGUUUCACUGUAAACUUCUAUAAUUUAAUUUUUGAUAAUGUCUGUUUAACCGCAAGCCCACAGAAUUCCUGAAAAUUUAACAUUUGAUUCUCUUGCCCCAGCUCCGGCUCGCACGGGUGUCACCUCCAAGUGGAGAUGGGGUUGUGUAAGCUAGGCUUCUGGGUUGGUCCUGGAUGUUCAGUUUCUUCCCCCGGGUUCCACUUAGACGCCCCCAAGGUGACCCCCGGCGAGUCAGUGCCCUGUAUCAUCCCCUCCCCCUGAGUCUGAGCCCGACCCAUCAUGUGCUUCUGACCAGCAGAGUUUGCUGAGUGGGGUAAGCCCUCGUUCCCUUGACUGUGUCCCUUCACAUGUGAAGGAUGAUGGAUGUCACACCCAUCACGCCCACGAUCCCAUGAUGUCUGGAGACACAGUCUCCUGCCGGCCUUGCAGGAGCCACAGCCACGUGAACAGCCCUUGGAGAAGGCCCCGUGGCAGGUGACGGUGGGCCGCCUCCAGGACCUGAGGGUGGCCUCCAGCCAAUCGCCACAAAGAAGCUGGGGCCCUCGGUCGUGUGCUCACGAGGACACGCGUGUGCCAGCAGCCUGAAUGAGCCGGAAAGAGUGGAGCCUCCAGACGAGAGCAAAGCCCAGCCCCCACCUGGAUUACGCGGGAGACCCUGAGCCGUCGGCUCUGCCCACCCCUGACUCCUGCCCUGGGGAACCUGAGGUAUGGCGCAGACAACGGGAAGGAUGGGAGACACAUAGCAUCAUCACACUGGGAGAUCAAUAUGACGUCUCAACCCAAGAGGGCAGAUGCUCUUCUUGCCGAAAUAAUAAACCUGAGAAACAGAUGAUGUGGCUUGAUCUGUGACCAACCAGGCCUGAUCACUCCUCGAAGGUUAACAGAAUAAAAUGACUGGAAAUUAGUCAUUUGGCCUAAUACAUACUGUCAAAUAGCAGGGAAAUCCUACGAGGACAGUGAAAAAAAAAUACUUCUGCAGCCUUGCCAUUUGAUGCCACAUUGCGGAGCGAUCCCCUGUGAAGUGACUUCCGUCCAGGGCCACAAAACAAAACCAUCUAACCUUAAUCAUCACACCUUCCACCUUACGAGACGUGGGUUGUAAAUCUCCUUCAGGGCCUAUAUUUGCUGCUGUUGGCACGCCUUAACAGGAUAAACCGUAGAGGGGAGAUCCGAUCGGCAGGUAUUGCACAGCCGAGGGACGCCGGGCCGUGCACUUUUCACACGCAUCUCGUGGCCUCCCCACACCACGUCAUCCGCAAGGUACACGCACAAGAGAGGCUGCAUUUCAGCUGCUUCCAAUUACCGGAGCACCAACUGUGUCUAGCACAGCCACGCUUUUUUGUAAAUGGCUGGGAGUUAGGCCAGAAGUUAGACUUCUCGAAUUCCAUUUCCUUCUCUAAGAUACAAACGUCUUCACAGAUGUGGGAAGCUGCGUUUGUUUCUCCCUUUUCUCCCGCUUCGCAACGGGGACGCGGUGCUGUGCGUGGGGGGAGGAUGAGACCAGCAGCCCCCGCCCCCGUGGCGUGGAGUUGGUAAAGACCAGUUUCAUUUAGUCUCACGGCCUUUGGUUCCGAGUCUUCCCGCGAGCAGACCUCCGGGGAUCUCUGGUUGCGCUCCCACACUUGGGCCUGUGUUUUUAAACUUGAGUCCCGGUUAUAAUUUUAGGUUGAAACAGGAGAAAUUAGUGGCCGUUGAGCAGAUUUGACGAUUCUUGAGGGGCAGUAGGGCGCGUCAACCCAAUGCUGAAUAGCGUGACUGGGAUGUCGCUUUCCUGCCGGGCGCUGCCCGGAGCCCUUUACACACAUGACCCUCAUUUAGUCCGGAGGUUUACAGGAAGUGGGGAAACUGAGGCAUGGGGAGCCCCACGGUCACACAGGUAGUUAGUGCUGGAGUCACACCUGAAGCCUAAGGGGGUCUGGUUCCAGUGCCUGUCCCCACACCCACGGCGCCCGUGUGCCGUCGGCUCUGCUAACCUAGGGGCGGAAGCAUAUUGUCAUCUGUGUGGGUGACAAAGCGUUUUGUAGGAAGGACUAAGUGAGAGCUUUUGCUCCUGUAUUUUAUUUUACUUGAUUUUAUUUUUUUUUAAGUUUUUAUUUACUUUUUUUCUUGAGGUGGGGGGAGGGGCAAAGAGAGAGAG
Long non-coding RNA from Felis catus (domestic cat), 2980 nucleotides. RefSeq lists it as uncharacterized. The transcript has 5 exons. The record is from RefSeq and is a predicted model, not a curated record. NCBI's taxonomy places the organism in Eukaryota, Metazoa, Chordata, Mammalia, Carnivora, Felidae.